This 433-nucleotide ribosomal RNA is filed under the name uncultured bacterium. Its description in RNAcentral is "partial 16S ribosomal RNA". It matches the Rfam family "Bacterial small subunit ribosomal RNA", at positions 29 to 507 of the family's 1533-position model. The record is from RNAcentral.
AGCGAACGCUGGCGGCAGGCCUAACACAUGCAAGUCGAACGAACUCUUCGGAGUUAGUGGCGGACGGGUGAGUAACACGUGGGAACGUGCCUUUAGGUUCGGAAUAACUCAGGGAAACUUGUGCUAAUACCGAAUGUGCCCUUCGGGGGAAAGAUUUAUCGCCUUUAGAGCGGCCCGCGUCUGAUUAGCUAGUUGGUGAGGUAAAGGCUCACCAAGGCGACGAUCAGUAGCUGGUCUGAGAGGAUGAUCAGCCACAUUGGGACUGAGACACGGCCCAAACUCCUACGGGAAGCAGCAGUGGGGAAUCUUGCGCAAUGGGCGAAAGCCUGACGCAGCCAUGCCGCGUGAAUGAUGAAGGUCUUAGGAUUGUAAAAUUCUUUCACCGGGGACGAUAAUGACGGUACCCGGAGAAGAAGCCCCGGUUAACUUCGUG